This 293-nucleotide ribosomal RNA is filed under the name uncultured bacterium. RNAcentral describes it as "partial 16S ribosomal RNA". It matches the Rfam family "Archaeal small subunit ribosomal RNA", at positions 455 to 747 of the family's 1478-position model. The record is from RNAcentral.
GUGCCAGCCGCCGCGGUAAUACCGGCAGCUCAAGUGAUGUCCCAUCUUAUUGGGCCUAAAGCGUCCGUAGCUGGCCGCGCAAGUCUCCCGGGAAAUCCACCCGCCCAACGGGUGGGCGUCCGGUAGAAACUGGCCGGCUCGGAACCGGAAGGCUCAGAGAGUACGUCCGGGGUAGGAGUGAAAUCCCGUAAUCCCGGACGGACUACCGAUGGCGAAAGCACUCUGAGAAGACGGCUUCGACAGUGAGGGACGAAAGCUGGGAUCUCGAACCGGAUUAGAUACCCUAGUAGUCC